AGUGAACGCUGGCGGUAGGCCUAACACAUGCAAGUCGAACGACAGCACAGUAAGAGCUUGCUCUUACGGGUGGCGAGUGGCGGACGGGUGAGGAAUACAUCGGAAUCUACUUUUUCGUGGGGGAUAACGUAGGGAAACUUACGCUAAUACCGCAUACGACCUACGGGUGAAAGCAGGGGAUCUUCGGACCUUGCGCGAUUGAAUGAGCCGAUGUCGGAUUAGCUAGUUGGCGGGGUAAAGGCCCACCAAGGCGACGAUCCGUAGCUGGUCUGAGAGGAUGAUCAGCCACACUGGAACUGAGACACGGUCCAGACUCCUACGGGAGGCAGCAGUGGGGAAUAUUGGACAAUGGGCGCAAGCCUGAUCCAGCCAUACCGCGUGGGUGAAGAAGACCUUCGGGUUGUAAAGCCCUUUUGUUGGGAAAGAAAAGCAGCAGGUUAAUACCCCGCUGUUCUGACGGUACCCAAAGAAUAAGCACCGGCUAACUUCGUG
Molecule: ribosomal RNA, 492 nt
Filed under: uncultured bacterium
Lineage: Bacteria
Description: partial 16S ribosomal RNA
Rfam family: Bacterial small subunit ribosomal RNA
Source: RNAcentral